AAGAGCAUAAAGGUUUGGUCCUAGCCUUAUCAUCAAUUGUCUUUCAACUUACACAUGCAAGUCUCAGCACCCCCGUGAGGAAGCCCUUAAACCCUUCUCCAGGAUAAGGAGCCGGUAUCAGGCUCAACCUUUUGCCCACAACACCUAGUCUUACCACGCCCCCAAGGGUCAUCAGCAGUGAUAAACAUUAUUAAUAAGCGUUAGCUUGACUCAGUUAGAAAGAAGAAAGUUGGCCAACUUGGUGCCAGCCGCCGCGGCUACACCCUAUGGACUUAAAUUGAUGGUCAUCGGCGUUAAGCGUGAUUAAAGUACCCAUAUAAUUAGAGUAAAACCCUUUACCCAGCUGUGAAAAGCAUGUACUGCGGAAUUCCAUAAACGAAAGUUACUCUAACCUGAGACUUGAAUACACGGCAGCUAGGAGC
This 422-nucleotide ribosomal RNA is filed under the name Minervarya rufescens (Malabar wart frog). Its description in RNAcentral is "Fejervarya rufescens (Malabar wart frog) partial 12S rRNA". Lineage: Eukaryota; Metazoa; Chordata; Amphibia; Anura; Dicroglossidae. The record is from RNAcentral.